Molecule: unclassified non-coding RNA, 222 nt
Filed under: uncultured Russula
Lineage: Eukaryota; Fungi; Basidiomycota; Agaricomycetes; Russulales; Russulaceae
Description: sequence contains ITS2
Source: RNAcentral
AAUUCUCAAACCUUCUUGGUUUCUUGACCAAGUCGGCUUUGGACUUUGGAGGUUGCUGGCUUUGCAAAAAGCCAGCUCCUCUUAAAUACAUUAGUAGGGUCUCCUUUGCCGAUCCCCAGGCGUGAUAAGUCGCUUCUACGUCUUGGGAUUUGCUCUGUUCCUUGAGAACCUGCUUCCAAUCGUCUCAUCGAAGACAUCGUUCGAGCUUGCUCGACCCACGAA